AGGGAUGUAGCUCAGUGGUAAAGCAUCUUCUUUGCAUGGAAAUGCUCCUGGGUUGAAUCCGCAGCAUCUCCA
This is a non-coding RNA of Podarcis lilfordi (Lilford's wall lizard), 72 nucleotides long. Lineage: Eukaryota; Metazoa; Chordata; Lepidosauria; Squamata; Lacertidae. The record is from the annotation of a GenBank genome assembly.